UCUAAUAUGGCAGAUUAGUGCAAUGGGUUUAAGCUCCAUAUAUAAAGUAUUUUACUUUUAUUAGAAACGA
This 70-nucleotide transfer RNA is filed under the name Bactrocera oleae (olive fruit fly). Its description in RNAcentral is "tRNA-Leu". The record is from RNAcentral. Lineage: Eukaryota; Metazoa; Arthropoda; Insecta; Diptera; Tephritidae.